GGCUGCCUACGGGGGGCAGCAGUGGGGAAUAUUGCACAAUGGGGGAAACCCUGAUGCAGCAACGCCGCGUGAGUGAGGAAGUAUUUCGGUAUGUAAAGCUCUAUCGGCAGGGAAUAGAAAAGAAGGUACCUGAAAAAGAAGCCCCGGCUAACUACGUGCCAGCAGCCGCGGUAAUACGUAGGGGGCAAGCGUUAUCCGGAUUUACUGGGUGUAAAGGGAGCGUAGACGGAAAGGCAAGUCAGAAGUGAAAGCCCAAGGCUCAACCAUGGGACUGCUUUUGAAACUGUCAAACUA
This 294-nucleotide ribosomal RNA is filed under the name uncultured bacterium. RNAcentral's name for it is "partial 16S ribosomal RNA". It matches the Rfam family "Bacterial small subunit ribosomal RNA", at positions 333 to 643 of the family's 1533-position model. The record is from RNAcentral.